ACCACAAACACCAUCUGAAAUGAAUUGAAGAGUUUCUCCUUCCCGUUUUUACCACCAGAAACAUUAUCCAGAACAAAAAAUUUCUCCAAACACCAUUUCUUCUAGUGUACUAAGAUCUAAGCUUGUUCGGUCAAAUUUUAGCUCAAUUCCAAAGAUCGUCUACUACGUCCGUUUAUUCAUAGGUUUAAGGUAUGGUAGCAAAAUAUUUCAAAUGCAAAAGUCUCAAUAUUAGCAGGCACAAAUUUGUACUUAUGUACCAAAAUAAGGAGCAUUUUAUUAACAAGAAGACAUAAAUUUUAUAUUAACAUGAAGAGUAUUUUGUGGGCACAAUUUGUAUUUCAUAUUGAUAUCGAUGAAUAAAUUCCAAAGGCUCAGUUUUAAAGUUUUGGAACCAUAAGAUGAAUUUAGAAAGAUAUAAACGAUGAUAAUAAAAAUAAAAAUAAAAACUAGAAGAAGACAAAUAUAUACAAAAUGUAUAUGGAGUAU
Molecule: long non-coding RNA, 486 nt
Organism: Nicotiana attenuata
Lineage: Eukaryota; Viridiplantae; Streptophyta; Magnoliopsida; Solanales; Solanaceae
Exons: 3
Source: RefSeq, a predicted model, not a curated record